AUCGUGUCGUACACUACAACAUGAUGGGAAAUGUAGUUCGCAGGAUUUCAAUAAAUUCUUGGGAAAGCUGUUUCUACUUCCUCUUUACUGCACGAGCCUGAGGAAGACAGGCACUUCUGAUCCACCAUGCCCGUUGCCAGGAGUUGGGUCUGUCGCAAGACAUACGUCACCCCCCGUCGUCCUUUCGAGAAGUCUCGUCUCGACCAGGAGCUCAAGCUUAUUGGGGAGUAUGGUUUGAGGAACAAGCGUGAGGUGUGGAGGGUCAAAUUCACCCUGGCCAAGAUCCGCAAGGCCGCCAGAGAGCUGCUCACUCUGGACGAGAAGGACCCCAAGCGUCUGUUUGAAGGUAAUGCCCUUCUGAGGCGUCUGGUGAGGAUUGGUGUGCUGGAUGAGGGCAAGAUGAAGCUCGAUUACAUCCUGGGCCUGAAAGUCGAGGACUUCUUGGAGAGGAGGCUGCAGACACAGGUGUUCAAGCUGGGGCUAGCCAAGAGCAUCCACCACGCCCGCGUGCUGAUCCGCCAGAGGCACAUUCGAGGGCCACCGAGUCUUAUCGCUCCUCGCUGAGCGCGGUUUUAACAUUUCAACAAGGUCAAUUCGGUUUCUUACCGUAUACCUUGUCAGUGAGCUCUGCCCAGAGCCAAUCCUGCCAGCUGAGGGGGCACAUUCUCUGCCACCGUGGCGUGAUGGCUGACAGUGUCCGCAAGCAGGUGGUCAACAUCCCCUCGUUCGUGGUCCGCCUGGACAGCCAGAAGCACAUCGACUUCUCCCUGCGCUCUCCAUAUGGGGGGGGUCGCCCCGGGCGCGUCAAGAGAAAGAAUGCCAAGAAGGGCCAGGGUGGAGCUGGAGGAGCUGAUGA
Molecule: RNA transcript, 856 nt
Organism: Osmerus eperlanus (European smelt)
Lineage: Eukaryota; Metazoa; Chordata; Actinopteri; Osmeriformes; Osmeridae
Gene: rps9
Gene name: ribosomal protein S9
Exons: 6
Source: RefSeq, a predicted model, not a curated record